This 137-nucleotide non-coding RNA is filed under the name uncultured Phascolarctobacterium sp. RNAcentral's name for it is "glmS glucosamine-6-phosphate activated ribozyme". It matches the Rfam family "glmS glucosamine-6-phosphate activated ribozyme aptamer". From Rfam's summary of the family: This entry contains a glucosamine-6-phosphate activated ribozyme that is found in the mRNA for GlmS. GlmS is an enzyme that uses fructose-6-phosphate and glutamine to generate glucosamine-6-phosphate. The ribozyme catalyses self cleavage of the glmS mRNA that is thought to regulate GlmS activity. The record is from RNAcentral. Lineage: Bacteria; Bacillati; Bacillota; Negativicutes; Acidaminococcales; Acidaminococcaceae.
AAAAGUGACAGAGCGCAUGUACCGCAUUUGCGGCAGACGAGGAAUGAGGUUAUCGAUCAGUCAGCGGAUGCCUCACGGUUAGCUGUAGGCCGAAAGCUGGAUACAAAGCCCUAUGGCAACAUAGGAGAGAAAGUUUC